CUGACACUCAGUGAUUUCAGGUUGUGACAGUCAUGUUACUAGAACGUGUGGCACCUGGAAACCCCAAGGAGGAAGCGCAGCCUUCCCUCCUGGGCAUGAAGCUGGCUUUUGGUGCGGCUGUGCUGCAACUGCCAUUUGCCACCGAGGAUCCUCUUCUCUUCACUGGGGAGAGUUAAGAGGGAGAAGACACCAUUGGAGCGGG
Molecule: non-coding RNA, 202 nt
Organism: Otolemur garnettii (small-eared galago)
Lineage: Eukaryota; Metazoa; Chordata; Mammalia; Primates; Galagidae
Source: Rfam